This 253-nucleotide ribosomal RNA is filed under the name uncultured bacterium. RNAcentral's name for it is "partial 16S ribosomal RNA". It matches the Rfam family "Bacterial small subunit ribosomal RNA", at positions 524 to 776 of the family's 1533-position model. The record is from RNAcentral.
GACGGAGGGUGCGAGCGUUGUUCGGAUUGACUGGGCGUAAAGGGCGUGUAGGCGGUCGGCCAAGUCUGGUGUGAAAGCCCGGGGCUUAGCUCCGGAAGUGCGCCGGAAACUAGCUGGCUGGAGCGCGGUAGAGGAGGGUGGAAUUCCUGGUGUAGCGGUGAAAUGCGUAGAUAUCAGGAGGAACACCGGCGGCGAAGGCGGCCCUCUGGACCGUUGCUGACGCUGAGACGCGAAAGCGUGGGGAGCAAACAGG